AAGUGCUUGGCCGAGAUCGUGAAUUUUUUAACAAAUGACCUCAAAUCAGGCAAGAACACCCGCUGAACUUAAGCAUAUCAAUAAGCGGAGGAAAAGAAACUAACAAGGAUUCCCCUAGUAACGGCGAGUGAAGAGGGAAGAGCUCAAAUUUUAAAUCUGCCUUGUUUCAAGGUCGAGUUGUAAUUUGAAGAAGCGUUUUCUUGGGCUCGCGGCCGGUAGAAGUUCUUUGGAACAGGACAUCAUAGAGGGUGACAAUCCCGUCUGCGACCGGUCGUGCGUUCAUCUACGAUACGCUUUCAAAGAGUCGAGUUGUUUGGGAUUGCAGCUCCAAAUGGGUGGUAAACAUCACCUAAGGCUAAAUAUUGGCGAGAGACCGAUAGCGAACAAGUACCGUGAGGGAAAGAUGAAAAGAACUUUGAAAAGAGAGUUAAACAGUACGUGAAAUUGUUGAAAGGGAAACGAUUGAAGUCAGUCGUGCUGGCGCGAAAUCAACCCUCUCGUCGAGAGGACACAUGGCGUGGCGAGCCUCAACCGUCACGAAGCGUGAACUCUUGGCGAAAAGGAGCACUUUCGUGUCCGCUGGUUAACAUCAAUUUCGAACGUCAUAAAAAGGCUGGAGGGAUGUGGCUCCUUCGGGAGUGUUAUAACCUUUAGCGGAAUGUGGUGGUCGGGAUUGAGGAUUGCAACGAAUACCUUUAGGGCUGUUCCACCUGGCCUCUCUUUGGUAUCCUGGUGACGACAGCUUGCUGACGUUGUUAGGAUUCGCCAUUGAACAGGCUAGAGUGUGAGCAAAUUCGUUAAGGAUGUUAACGUAAUGGCUUUAAACGACC
Molecule: ribosomal RNA, 830 nt
Filed under: Entrophospora claroidea
Lineage: Eukaryota; Fungi; Glomeromycota; Glomeromycetes; Entrophosporales; Entrophosporaceae
Description: partial 28S ribosomal RNA
Rfam family: Eukaryotic large subunit ribosomal RNA
Source: RNAcentral